This 1540-nucleotide ribosomal RNA is filed under the name Klebsiella pneumoniae. RNAcentral describes it as "bacterial SSU rRNA". It matches the Rfam family "Bacterial small subunit ribosomal RNA". The record is from RNAcentral. Lineage: Bacteria; Pseudomonadati; Pseudomonadota; Gammaproteobacteria; Enterobacterales; Enterobacteriaceae.
AAAUUGAAGAGUUUGAUCAUGGCUCAGAUUGAACGCUGGCGGCAGGCCUAACACAUGCAAGUCGAGCGGUAGCACAGAGAGCUUGCUCUCGGGUGACGAGCGGCGGACGGGUGAGUAAUGUCUGGGAAACUGCCUGAUGGAGGGGGAUAACUACUGGAAACGGUAGCUAAUACCGCAUAAUGUCGCAAGACCAAAGUGGGGGACCUUCGGGCCUCAUGCCAUCAGAUGUGCCCAGAUGGGAUUAGCUAGUAGGUGGGGUAACGGCUCACCUAGGCGACGAUCCCUAGCUGGUCUGAGAGGAUGACCAGCCACACUGGAACUGAGACACGGUCCAGACUCCUACGGGAGGCAGCAGUGGGGAAUAUUGCACAAUGGGCGCAAGCCUGAUGCAGCCAUGCCGCGUGUGUGAAGAAGGCCUUCGGGUUGUAAAGCACUUUCAGCGGGGAGGAAGGCGUUAAGGUUAAUAACCUUGGCGAUUGACGUUACCCGCAGAAGAAGCACCGGCUAACUCCGUGCCAGCAGCCGCGGUAAUACGGAGGGUGCAAGCGUUAAUCGGAAUUACUGGGCGUAAAGCGCACGCAGGCGGUCUGUCAAGUCGGAUGUGAAAUCCCCGGGCUCAACCUGGGAACUGCAUUCGAAACUGGCAGGCUAGAGUCUUGUAGAGGGGGGUAGAAUUCCAGGUGUAGCGGUGAAAUGCGUAGAGAUCUGGAGGAAUACCGGUGGCGAAGGCGGCCCCCUGGACAAAGACUGACGCUCAGGUGCGAAAGCGUGGGGAGCAAACAGGAUUAGAUACCCUGGUAGUCCACGCCGUAAACGAUGUCGAUUUGGAGGUUGUGCCCUUGAGGCGUGGCUUCCGGAGCUAACGCGUUAAAUCGACCGCCUGGGGAGUACGGCCGCAAGGUUAAAACUCAAAUGAAUUGACGGGGGCCCGCACAAGCGGUGGAGCAUGUGGUUUAAUUCGAUGCAACGCGAAGAACCUUACCUGGUCUUGACAUCCACAGAACUUAGCAGAGAUGCUUUGGUGCCUUCGGGAACUGUGAGACAGGUGCUGCAUGGCUGUCGUCAGCUCGUGUUGUGAAAUGUUGGGUUAAGUCCCGCAACGAGCGCAACCCUUAUCCUUUGUUGCCAGCGGUUCGGCCGGGAACUCAAAGGAGACUGCCAGUGAUAAACUGGAGGAAGGUGGGGAUGACGUCAAGUCAUCAUGGCCCUUACGACCAGGGCUACACACGUGCUACAAUGGCAUAUACAAAGAGAAGCGACCUCGCGAGAGCAAGCGGACCUCAUAAAGUAUGUCGUAGUCCGGAUUGGAGUCUGCAACUCGACUCCAUGAAGUCGGAAUCGCUAGUAAUCGUAGAUCAGAAUGCUACGGUGAAUACGUUCCCGGGCCUUGUACACACCGCCCGUCACACCAUGGGAGUGGGUUGCAAAAGAAGUAGGUAGCUUAACCUUAGGGAGGGCGCUUACCACUUUGUGAUUCAUGACUGGGGUGAAGUCGUAACAAGGUAACCGUAGGGGAACCUGCGGUUGGAUCACCUCCUUA